This 273-nucleotide long non-coding RNA is filed under the name Carica papaya (papaya). RNAcentral describes it as "long non-coding RNA (CPAP_LNC015235)". The record is from RNAcentral. Lineage: Eukaryota; Viridiplantae; Streptophyta; Magnoliopsida; Brassicales; Caricaceae.
UCAAAAAAGGUAAAAAUUCUCCCAAUUGCUCGAAAUUUAAUUUUGAACACCCCCAUGGCCAAAUUAGAGCUAAAGGACCAGUGGAUAGGCCAAAACUUGCAGGUAAAGUCCGGCGGCUGCCGUGGAAAAAACUAAAAAUUGUCUCCGAUGAGCCCUUUCCUGAUUCUCGUUUUGUGUAAUUUUUCCACCAUUGUAUUCACUGUUCUAUUUUCUAAAGGUUGACUGAAGAAAAACACCCAACAACCGUGAAGGUGAGCCUGCCACAUUAGAAAA